UAAAAAUUUACUCAAGGAGCUUUUAAAAAGUAUCAGUGCCUAGGACACAACACAGGUUAAUUGAAUAAGAACUUCGGGAGGAGACUCUAGCACCAACCAGAGAAAGCUGAAUACACUCCCUGGCCAGUUCCAUAGGAUGUUCCGAUUCCAGCUACUCGCCUCCAGUGUCCCCAGACAGCAGCCUCCGGCAGGGCUCACCUGGGACCUUCCGUUUUCUCAUCAUAAAUCCCCAGACCCCUGCCUUUGAGUCUCUGCUGGACACACACCCUGGAGCCCUGCCUUUGAGCCUCUGCUGGACACACACCCCGGACCCCUGCCGUUGAGCCUGUGCUGAACACUCGCAGUGGUGACCGACGCCCCCACCACAGCAAGCCCCGAAUACACAGCCUCUGUGUGUUCCCACUGAGUUGGUCUUUGUUUAUUUUCACACUUAAAUUACACACUAUAAAAAAACCACAGUUGUUAAUAUUGCCACCCAUCUCACCAAAAAAGCCUCUAUAUAUUGUAAAACUGUCAAGCUCAAGGUGAUGAAUAAAAGUGACCCAAAA
RNAcentral lists this long non-coding RNA (548 nucleotides) under Homo sapiens (human). RNAcentral's name for it is "HSALNT0338590". The record is from RNAcentral. Lineage: Eukaryota; Metazoa; Chordata; Mammalia; Primates; Hominidae.